AGUGAACGCUGGCGGCGUGCUUAACACAUGCAAGUCGAACGAGAACGGGCUAUAGCUUGCUAUAGUUGUCAGCUAAGUGGCGCACGGGUGAGUAAUGUAUAGGUAAUAUGCCUCUUACUAAGGGAUAACAAAUGGAAACGUUUGCUAAUACCUUAUACUCCUUAUUAACAGAAGUUAAUAAGGGAAAGAUUUAUUGGUAAGAGAUUAGCCUGUAUUGUAUCAGUUAGUUGGUGGGGUAAUGGCUUACCAAGACUAUGACACAUAACUGGUUUGAGCGGUAGAUCAGUCACACUGGAACUGAGACACGGUCCAGACUCCUACGGGAGGCAGCAGUGGGGAAUAUUGCACAAUGGACGAAAGUCUGAUGCAGCAACGCCGCGUGGAGGAUGACACAUUUCGGUGCGUAAACUCCUUUUAUAUGAGAAGAUAGUGACGGUAUUAUAUGAAUAAGCACCGGCUAACUCCGUGCCAGCCGCCGCGGUAA
RNAcentral lists this ribosomal RNA (484 nucleotides) under uncultured bacterium. Its description in RNAcentral is "partial 16S ribosomal RNA". It matches the Rfam family "Bacterial small subunit ribosomal RNA", at positions 29 to 523 of the family's 1533-position model. The record is from RNAcentral.